UUUCGUCAAAUAUGACUGCACCAGGAAAAAUUAAGAAAUUAAACGAAGUUGUAGUAAACAGAAUUGCAGCCGGUGAAGUGAUACAAAGGCCAGCAAAUGCAUUAAAAGAAUUAAUUGAAAACAGUCUUGAUGCGAAAGCUACUAAUAUUCAGAUUAUUGUCAAAGAAGGUGGAUUAAAAUUAUUACAGAUUCAAGAUAAUGGCACAGGUAUCAGAAGAGAGGAUAUGGAUAUUGUUUGCGAACGAUUCACAACAAGUAAAUUACAAACGUUCGAGGAUCUUCGAUCGAUAUCGACUUUUGGAUUUCGAGGUGAAGCUUUAGCGAGCAUUAGUCAUAUAUCUCUUUUAACCAUCACGACAAAAACUGCGGACGAGAAAUGUGCUUAUAAGGCAUCGUAUAUCGACAGUAAACUUAAAGGACAACCUAAGCCGUGCGCUGGAAAUCAAGGCACUACAAUAAUGAUUGAAAACUUAUUUUAUAAUGUUGCGACACGAAGAAAGGCUUUAUCGAAUCCAACAGAUGAAUUCAAUAAAAUUAUUGAUGUUGUUACAAAAUAUGCUAUACAUAAUCCUAAUGUGGGAUUUCUGUUAAAAAAACACGGUGAAAUAACGCCUCAGAUACGGACUUUGCAUAAUUCGACUAAAAUGAAUAACGUAAGAAUACUUUAUGGUAAUCCUGUAUCCCGAGAAUUAUUAGAGGUGGAACUUGAAGAUAAAGAUUAUAAGUUCAAAAUGCAUGCUUUAAUAACAAAUCCAAAUUAUACUAAUAAAAAGAUGGUGUUUCUUCUCUUUAUCAAUGAUAGAUUAGUUGAAUCUUCUUCAAUUCGUAAAAUGUUGGAAGAAGUUUAUACAUUUUAUCUUCCCAAAAAGACUCAUCCAUGGUGUUAUGUAUCUUUAAAAAUUGAACCGCAAAAUGUUGAUGUCAAUGUUCAUCCAACAAAACACGAAGUGAAAUUUCUUCACGAAGAUGCCAUUAUUGAAAAAAUAAGAUUAAGUUUGGACGACAGACUUUCUGGAAACAGUGCCUCCAGAACGUUCUAUGUACAAGCCCGAUUACCAAAAGCAGAUAUUACUAAAGAAGUUUUGAAAGAAGUUUUACCAGAAUACGAACAAGAAAGUAAUGAUAAAAUGAAAAAGAUUCGCCCUCAAGAAAUGAUUAGGACUGAUUCGUCUAAUCAAAAAUUGGACAAAUUUAAUUUUACUAUUCACACGGCAAUGAAACGUGAUAAAAAUGUAGAUAAUAUUCUGUCUGACAAUUGUGCAAAUAAUGUAGUACAGAAUAAAUCGAUCUCAAAAGAAACGGAUAAUAAUAAAGAAGAUUAUGUUGAUAUUACUGAAAAACCAGAUACUGUACAAUGCUUAACAUCAAAUCUAGAUGUUACAAACCAGAAAAAUACAUCAGCGCCAACAGAAGUAGUAGAAACGGAAGAAUCUACUCCAUGGAGUGAUAUAAUAAAUGAUACAAGUCCGUCUGCAUCGUCAGAAUUAAUAUUAUCUGGUAUUUCUACUUUAGUUACAUCAACUCAAAAUGAGAACAAGUUAAAUAACACGAACGACAUCUUAAAAAUUACCGAUGAUAAUUUUGAUGAAAGUAUACUAAAUAAUUGUAUAGAAGAAAUAGAUGAGUCUGUCAAAGGAAAAUGCAUUGACGUGAUUGCAGACAAAGCGCGUAAACAGGUGUAUAAAUGCUUUGGAAAUAAAAGUGAUGUAUCAGAGAAGGAAGAAACUAUUAAAGGCGAAAAAGAAACACAAAUUGACAAAACUGAGAAAAACAAUGUAUCUGGUGAAAUAAAACGGACAGAUGCACAAUCUUUCAAAACUACUGAUAAUACCGAGAAAGAUGAUACUGCAAGUACGCACGAGUUCAAAUCCUAUUCGAUAAAUAAUUUCAGGAGGGAAGUAAAGUUAACGAGUGUUUUAAAAUUACGCAAAGAAGUAGAGAAUGAGUGUCACGAAGGAUUGAGAGAAAUUUUAUCUGAUCUAACUUUUGUUGGUUGCAUAGACGAAUCUGCUGCACUUAUUCAAAGUGGAGUUAGUUUAUAUCUUUGCAACACAAAAAAAUUAGCGGAGGAGCUUUUUUACGAAAUUAUGCUUUAUGACUUUGCGAAUCAUGGAGUUAUAAAAUUCUCAGUAAGUGCAAAAACAGUAAACAAAGAUGCUAUUUUUAUAUGCAAAAUUAUAUUUAUUUUUUUUUAGGAUGCAAUUCCUUUGUAUGAAUUAGCAAUGUUAGGAUUAGAUACAGAAGAAGCUGGAUGGACAGAAGAAGAUGGGACAAAAGAAGAAUUAGCUAAAAAUGUUAAAGAAUUAUUACUGGAAAAGACAGAUAUGUUAAAAGAAUAUUUUUCUAUUGUUAUAGACAAAAAAGGGAACUUGAGAUCUUUACCAGUAUUACUAGAAAAAUAUUUUCCAUACGAAGCUGGUCUUCCACUCUAUAUAUUGCGUUUAGCUACUGAAGUAGAAUGGUCGACAGAACAACCAUGUUUCCGAACUGUCUGCAGAGAAACGGCAAGAUAUUACAGUCAAAUGAAUCCUAUACACGAUACUCACGAUUGGAAGUAUAUUACAGAACAUGUUUUAUAUUCUGCAAUUAAAGAGAGUUUGCUUCCUCCUAAAUAUUUUGCACAUGACUCAACAAUACUGCAAAUAGCUAAUCUACCUGAUUUGUACAAAAUUUUUGAAAGGUGUUAAAUAUACUUAACAAUUGGACAUUGAUCAAGAUAAAUUUAACUUUGCACAAAGUACGUAAUGCGCUGUAACGGAAUUGUAAAAUAUUAAUUAUAUUGACCACGUAAUACUA
RNAcentral lists this unclassified non-coding RNA (2796 nucleotides) under Megachile rotundata (alfalfa leafcutting bee). RNAcentral's name for it is "dNA mismatch repair protein Mlh1, transcript variant X3". Lineage: Eukaryota; Metazoa; Arthropoda; Insecta; Hymenoptera; Megachilidae. The record is from RNAcentral.